RNAcentral lists this long non-coding RNA (455 nucleotides) under Sinocyclocheilus anshuiensis. RNAcentral describes it as "lncRNA (ENSSANG00000011791.1)". Lineage: Eukaryota; Metazoa; Chordata; Actinopteri; Cypriniformes; Cyprinidae. The record is from RNAcentral.
CCGCGGUUGGAUAUUUGGGGUACAAUUCAUUUUAAACAAUCUCUACAGUAGUUCUUGUGGCCAGGAAACAUUAGCUCCUCCUCAUUAGAAUGCUGUUUGGCACAUGAUUGUUUCUGUGAUUACAUGCUCCCUACCUGUCAUCUUAAAUAUCAGCAGCUCCCAUAUGAAAGCUGAGGGAAUGAAGAUUUCUACAAGACGACAUGCAUCAUCAGCCCAAAUCCGAUGGGACGCCACAGCAUGCUGUCAUCUGUUCAGAUAGAGUGACAUUUGUCUGGAAUCUGCACAAUCCUGAUCUCACCCUCUGACGGGACACCCACGGACCCUUCGCAGACUUUCUGAUGCAUAUUACAAUUGCAAAUCGCUUUGCCUGAUAGAGUUUCUGAGGAACAACUAACCUGGUUAGUGGCAUUAGGUCUUUGGAAGAUAUAAUGCUUUUGCAUCUAAAUGAGAGAGAG